UUUAAAAUAUAUAUAUAUAUAUAUAAAACCCAGUAACAAAAAUUCAUAUUUUUAACACUUACCUAUUAAUGCGAAGGAUGCGAUUGUUUUU
This is a long non-coding RNA of Limulus polyphemus (Atlantic horseshoe crab), 91 nucleotides long. RefSeq lists it as uncharacterized. The record is from RefSeq and is a predicted model, not a curated record. The transcript is spliced from 3 exons. NCBI's taxonomy places the organism in Eukaryota, Metazoa, Arthropoda, Merostomata, Xiphosura, Limulidae.